RNAcentral lists this ribosomal RNA (465 nucleotides) under Vreelandella stevensii. RNAcentral describes it as "partial 16S ribosomal RNA". It matches the Rfam family "Bacterial small subunit ribosomal RNA", at positions 338 to 795 of the family's 1533-position model. The record is from RNAcentral. Lineage: Bacteria; Pseudomonadati; Pseudomonadota; Gammaproteobacteria; Oceanospirillales; Halomonadaceae.
CCUACGGGGGGCUGCAGUGGGGAAUAUUGGACAAUGGGGGCAACCCUGAUCCAGCCAUGCCGCGUGUGUGAAGAAGGCCCUCGGGUUGUAAAGCACUUUCAGUGAGGAAGAACGCCUGGUGGUUAAUACCCAUCAGGAAAGACAUCACUCACAGAAGAAGCACCGGCUAACUCCGUGCCAGCAGCCGCGGUAAUACGGAGGGUGCGAGCGUUAAUCGGAAUUACUGGGCGUAAAGCGCGCGUAGGUGGCUUGAUAAGCCGGUUGUGAAAGCCCCGGGCUCAACCUGGGAACGGCAUCCGGAACUGUCAAGCUAGAGUGCAGGAGAGGAAGGUAGAAUUCCCGGUGUAGAGGUGAAAUGCGUAGAGAUCGGGAGGAAUACCAGUGGCGAAGGCGGCCUUCUGGACUGACACUGACACUGAGGUGCGAAAGCGUGGGUAGCAAACAGGAUUAGAUACCCUAGUAGUC